RNAcentral lists this long non-coding RNA (503 nucleotides) under Nicotiana benthamiana. RNAcentral's name for it is "long non-coding RNA (NBEN_LNC035310)". The record is from RNAcentral. Lineage: Eukaryota; Viridiplantae; Streptophyta; Magnoliopsida; Solanales; Solanaceae.
GUCGAAAAUCGGUGCAAGAAUCAUGAUGAACAGUACAGGGAAAAUAGGGAGUGAAGCUGGUGGAACUUUUAACUUGCCAAAAUUUGUAUUCAUAGUUGCAGCUUGCUGGACUGAGAAUGUGGAUAGUUGAGCAAGGCAACAGUUGAGCAUUAUUGUGCAGGCGAAAAUCGGUAAGAUUUUCAUCACAAUCUUGACUUCUUCUACUUCUUGCACUGAGCAUUUCAGCACACCACAAGCGGCAGGAUUUCUUACAACAGCUCGAUUAAGGAACCUCAAACUUUUCGAUGGGAUCUCCAUCGAUUCUGCAUAUUUGAUGUUUCUAGUUUCCCCAUCUUCCUGGGAUAGUAGUACUGGAAUUGUAGAAGGGUAGGCAACAGUUGAGCAUUAUUGUGCAGGCAAAAAUCGGUAGGAUUUUCAUCACAAUCUUGACUUCUUCUACUUCUUGCACUGAGCAUUUCAGCGCACCACAAGCCGCAGGAUUUCUUACAACAGAGCUAUUAAGG